CGAACGGGUGAGUAAUGCGUGACCAACCUGCCCCAUGCUCCAGAAUAGCUCUUGGAAACGGGUGGUAAUGCUGGAUGCUCCAACUUGACGCAUGUCUUGUUGGGAAAGUGUUUAGUGGCAUGGGAUGGGGUCGCGUCCUAUCAGCUUGUAGGCGGGGUAAUGGCCCACCUAGGCUUCGACGGGUAGCCGGCCUGAGAGGGCGGACGGCCACAUUGGGACUGAGACACGGCCCAAACUCCUACGGGAGGCAGCAGCC
RNAcentral lists this ribosomal RNA (256 nucleotides) under uncultured Gardnerella sp. RNAcentral describes it as "partial 16S ribosomal RNA". It matches the Rfam family "Bacterial small subunit ribosomal RNA", at positions 99 to 355 of the family's 1533-position model. Lineage: Bacteria; Bacillati; Actinomycetota; Actinomycetes; Bifidobacteriales; Bifidobacteriaceae. The record is from RNAcentral.